CCUGCGGAAGGAUCAUUACCGAGUGAGGGCCCUCUGGGUCCAACCUCCCACCCGUGUUUAUUUUACCUUGUUGCUUCGGCGGGCCCGCCUUAACUGGCCGCCGGGGGGCUUACGCCCCCGGGCCCGCGCCCGCCGAAGACACCCUCGAACUCUGUCUGAAGAUUGAAGUCUGAGUGAAAAUAUAAAUUAUUUAAAACUUUCAACAACGGAUCUCUUGGUUCCGGCAUCGAUGAAGAACGCAGCGAAAUGCGAUACGUAAUGUGAAUUGCAAAUUCAGUGAAUCAUCGAGUCUUUGAACGCACAUUGCGCCCCCUGGUAUUCCGGGGGGCAUGCCUGUCCGAGCGUCAUUGCUGCCCUCAAGCCCGGCUUGUGUGUUGGGCCCCGUCCCCCGAUCUCCGGGGGACGGGCCCGAAAGGCAGCGGCGGCACCGCGUCCGGUCCUCGAGCGUAUGGGGCUUUGUCACCCGCUCUGUAGGCCCGGCCGGCGCUUGCCGAUCAACCCAAAUUUUUAUCCAGGUUGACCUCGGAUCAG
Molecule: ribosomal RNA, 531 nt
Filed under: Penicillium sp. 105P
Lineage: Eukaryota; Fungi; Ascomycota; Eurotiomycetes; Eurotiales; Aspergillaceae
Also listed under: 1 other name
Description: eukaryotic LSU rRNA
Rfam family: 5.8S ribosomal RNA (bases 195-347)
Source: RNAcentral